This 643-nucleotide ribosomal RNA is filed under the name uncultured Bacteroidales bacterium. RNAcentral describes it as "bacterial SSU rRNA". It matches the Rfam family "Bacterial small subunit ribosomal RNA", at positions 51 to 679 of the family's 1533-position model. The record is from RNAcentral. Lineage: Bacteria; Pseudomonadati; Bacteroidota; Bacteroidia; Bacteroidales.
ACACAUGCAAGUCGAGGGGCAGCAUGGUCUUAGCUUGCUAAGGCUGAUGGCGACCGGCGCACGGGUGAGUAACACGUAUCCAACCUGCCGUCUACUCUUGGCCAGCCUUCUGAAAGGAAGAUUAAUCCAGGAUGGGAUCAUGAGUUCACAUGUCCGCAUGAUUAAAGGUAUUUUCCGGUAGACGAUGGGGAUGCGUUCCAUUAGAUAGUAGGCGGGGUAACGGCCCACCUAGUCAACGAUGGAUAGGGGUUCUGAGAGGAAGGUCCCCCACAUUGGAACUGAGACACGGUCCAAACUCCUACGGGAGGCAGCAGUGAGGAAUAUUGGUCAAUGGGCGAUGGCCUGAACCAGCCAAGUAGCGUGAAGGAUGACUGCCCUAUGGGUUGUAAACUUCUUUUAUAAAGGAAUAAAGUCGGGUAUGCAUACCCGUUUGCAUGUACUUUAUGAAUAAGGAUCGGCUAACUCCGUGCCAGCAGCCGCGGUAAUACGGAGGAUCCGAGCGUUAUCCGGAUUUAUUGGGUUUAAAGGGAGCGUAGAUGGAUGUUUAAGUCAGUUGUGAAAGUUUGCGGCUCAACCCGUAAAAUUGCCAGUUGAUACUGGAUGUCUUGAGUGCAGUUGAGGCAGGCGGAAUUCGUGGUGUAGC